ACGGCGAGUGAACAGGCAAGAGCUCAGAUUUGAAAGCCUCUCGGGGCAUUGUAUUCUGAAGCCUUGAUUCUGAGAAACGGUACCUAAGUCUUCUGGAAAGGAGCGCCAAGGAGGGUGAUAGCCCCGUACGGUACUGACCUCAUUGUAGAAUCUUGGCGUGGAGUCGAGUUGUUUGGGAAUGCAGCUCAAAUGGGUGGUAUGCUCCAUCUAAAGCUAAAUAUCUGCGAGAGACCGAUAGCGAACAAGUACUGUGAAGGAAAGAUGAAAAGAACUUUGAAAAGAGAGUGAAAAAGUACGUGAAAUUGUUGAAAUGGAAGGAUAGGCCGCUAACCACGUAGAGCCGUGUCUGAGGGGAGGAUAAAAGCUGUAGAAUGUGACUCUUCGGAGUGUUAUAGCUACAGUGCAUACUCCCACUCGGGCGCGAGGACCUAAGGCUCUGCUAAAUGGUGGUCUAUCACCCGUCUUGAAC
Molecule: ribosomal RNA, 469 nt
Filed under: Starmerella bombicola
Lineage: Eukaryota; Fungi; Ascomycota; Dipodascomycetes; Dipodascales; Trichomonascaceae
Description: partial large subunit ribosomal RNA
Rfam family: Eukaryotic large subunit ribosomal RNA
Source: RNAcentral